Molecule: ribosomal RNA, 516 nt
Filed under: uncultured bacterium
Lineage: Bacteria
Description: bacterial SSU rRNA
Rfam family: Bacterial small subunit ribosomal RNA
Source: RNAcentral
GACGAACGCUGGCGGCGUGCUUAACACAUGCAAGUCGAACGAUUUAGUCGUCGGUCAUCAGACGUCAGACGUCAGGGGAACGAAUGGAACUGAAGAAAGAACUCGCUUUAGCGAAAAUCUAUUCCGAAACCCUUACGACCGAUGUCCGAUGACUGACGACCGAAUAGUGGCGGACGGGUGAGUAACGCGUGGGCAACCUACCCAUAAGAGGGGGAUAACAGCUGGAAACGGCUGCUAAUACCGCAUAAGCUUUUUGAGACACAUGUUUUAGAAAGUAAAGGAGGCUUUAGGCUUCCGCUUAUGGAUGGGCCCGCGUCUGAUUAGCUAGUUGGUAGGGUAGCGGCCUACCAAGGCAACGAUCAGUAGCCGGCCUGAGAGGGUGGACGGCCACACUGGGACUGAGAACGGCCCAGACUCCUACGGGAGGCAGCAGUGGGGAAUAUUGCGCAAUGGGGGAAACCCUGACGCAGCGACGCCGCGUGAGCGAAGAAGGCCUUCGGGUUGUAAGCUCUGUUG